UAGAUAAAUUUUUUAUGGUUUUAAAAAUUUAUUUUGUAUUUAUUUUACAUAUAAAUUUUAGUAUUAAAUUUUAAUUAUUUUAAUAAUAAUUAAUUGUAUACUUAUAGUAAUUAAAAUUAAAAAUUUAAGAAAUUAAGAUUUAGUAAUAUAAAAAUUAAUAACUAAUUUUGUGCCAGCAGUUGCGGUUAAACAAAAGUUAAAUUAAAUUAUUUCAGUAUAUAAUUAAUAACUAAUAAAUUAAAAUAAAUAUUAAAUUAUUAAGUGAAAUUUUAAUUUAAUUAAAAUUUAUAUAAAAAUUAUGAUUUAAUAAAUUUUAAUAUAAACUAGGAUUAGAUACCCUAUUAUUAAAAAUUUAAUUUAAAAUACUAAAAUAGUAAAUAUAUAUUAUUAAAACUUAAAUAAUAUGGCGGUAUUUUAGUUCAUUUAGAGGAAUCUGUCUAGUAAUUGAUAAUCCACGAAUGAAUUUACUUAAUUUAAUAUUUUGUAUAUCAUUGUUAAAAAAAUAUUUUUUAAUAAGAAUAAUAUUUAAAAAUUUUUAAUAUAAAUUAAUUCAGAUCAAGAUGCAGAUUAUAAUUAAGUUUAAGAUGGAUUACAAUAAAAUUAUUUAAACGAAAAAAAUUUUGGAAAAUUUAAUUGAAGGUGGAUUUAAAUGUAAUUUUAAUUAGUUUAUUAAAAUGAUUUAAUAUUAAAAUAUGUACAUAUUGCCCGUCACUUUCAUUUAAAAAUUGAAAUAAGUCGUAACAAAGUAGAGGUACUGGAAAGUGUUUCUAGAAUGAA
RNAcentral lists this non-coding RNA (777 nucleotides) under Neptis soma (sullied sailer). Lineage: Eukaryota; Metazoa; Arthropoda; Insecta; Lepidoptera; Nymphalidae. The record is from RNAcentral.